UACGUAGGGACCAAGCGUUGUUCGGAUUUACUGGGCGUAAAGGGCGCGUAGGCGGUCCGGUAAGUCCGUUGUGAAAGUCAGGGGCUCAACCCUUGAAUGCCGGCGGAUACUGUCGGGCUAGAGUCCGGAAGAGGCAAGUGGAAUUCCCGGUGUAGCGGUGAAAUGCGCAGAUAUCGGGAGGAACACCUAUGGCGAAGGCAGCUUGCUGGGACGGUACUGACGCUUAGACGCGAAAGCGUGGGGAGCAAACAGG
RNAcentral lists this ribosomal RNA (253 nucleotides) under uncultured bacterium. RNAcentral describes it as "partial 16S ribosomal RNA". It matches the Rfam family "Bacterial small subunit ribosomal RNA", at positions 524 to 776 of the family's 1533-position model. The record is from RNAcentral.